GUACCGUGAGGGAAAGGUGAAAAGCACCCCGGAAGGGGAGUGAAAUAGAACCUGAAACCGUGUGCUUACAAGUAGUCAGAGCCCGUUAAUGGGUGAUGGCGUGCCUUUUGUAGAAUGAACCGGCGAGUUACGAUUUGAUGCAAGGUUAAGCAGUAAAUGUGGAGCCGUAGCGAAAGCGAGUCUGAAUAGGGCGUUUAGUAUUUGGUCGUAGACCCGAAACCAGGUGAUCUACCCUUGGUCAGGUUGAAGUUCAGGUAACACUGAAUGGAGGACCGAACCGACUUACGUUGAAAAGUGAGCGGAUGAACUGAGGGUAGCGGAGAAAUUCCAAUCGAACCUGGAGAUAGCUGGUUCUCUCCGAAAUAGCUUUAGGGCUAGCCUCAAGUGAUGAUUAUUGGAGGUAGAGCACUGUUUGGACGAGGGGCCCCUCUCGGGUUACCGAAUUCAGACAAACUCCGAAUGCCAAUUAAUUUAACUUGGGAGUCAGAACAUGGGUGAUAAGGUCCGUGUUCGAAAGGGAAACAGCCCAGACCACCAGCUAAGGUCCCAAAAUAUAUGUUAAGUGGAAAAGGAUGUGGCGUUGCCCAGACAACUAGGAUGUUGGCUUAGAAGCAGCCAUCAUUUAAAGAGUGCGUAAUAGCUCACUAGUCGAGUGACACUGCGCCGAAAAUGUACCGGGGCUAAACAUAUUACCGAAGCUGUGGAUUGUCCUUUGGACAAUGGUAGGAGAGCGUUCUAAGGGCGUUGAAGCAUGAUCGUAAGGACAUGUGGAGCGCUUAGAAGUGAGAAUGCCGGUGUGAGUAGCGAAAGACGGGUGAGAAUCCCGUCCACCGAUUGACUAAGGUUUCCAGAGGAAGGCUCGUCCGCUCUGGGUUAGUCGGGUCCUAAGCUGAGGCCGACAGGCGUAGGCGAUGGAUAACAGGUUGAUAUUCCUGUACCACCUAUAAUCGUUUUAAUCGAUGGGGGGACGCAGUAGGAUAGGCGAAGCGUGCGAUUGGAUUGCACGUCUAAGCAGUAAGGCUGAGUAUUAGGCAAAUCCGGUACUC
Molecule: ribosomal RNA, 1046 nt
Filed under: Staphylococcus aureus
Lineage: Bacteria; Bacillati; Bacillota; Bacilli; Caryophanales; Staphylococcaceae
Description: partial 23S ribosomal RNA
Rfam family: Bacterial large subunit ribosomal RNA
Source: RNAcentral